UGACGUCAAGUCCUCAUGGCCCUUAUGACCAGGGCUACACACGUGCUACAAUGGCCGGUACAAAGAGUUGCGAUACCGCGAGGUGGAGCUAAUACUCAUAAAGCCGGUCUCAGUUCGGAUUGGAGUCUGCAACUCGACUCCAUGAAGUUGGAAUCGCUAGUAAUCGCGGAUCAGCACGCCGCGGUGAAUACGUUCCCGGGCCUU
Molecule: ribosomal RNA, 204 nt
Filed under: uncultured Geobacter sp.
Lineage: Bacteria; Pseudomonadati; Thermodesulfobacteriota; Desulfuromonadia; Geobacterales; Geobacteraceae
Description: partial 16S ribosomal RNA
Rfam family: Bacterial small subunit ribosomal RNA
Source: RNAcentral